CAGUUCAUGCUUAAUCCUCAAAGUGAAGUGUCGUCUCAUUAUUGGGGGAGGAUUUACUGUAUGCUGUUAGAGACUGAUUGCCAGGAGUGUAAGCCGCUUGGGGGCUUUUCCUGUUCGUCUGCUAGCAGCUAUUCGUGUGUCUCCAGUUCAGGAGUUUCGAGUAUUCCCUUGGUAUGUAGUUCGGGAGUUUCGAGUAUUCCCUUGGUUGCAGUUUGGGAGUUGGU
RNAcentral lists this long non-coding RNA (224 nucleotides) under Pelobates cultripes (western spadefoot toad). Lineage: Eukaryota; Metazoa; Chordata; Amphibia; Anura; Pelobatidae. The record is from RNAcentral.